AUUGAACGCUGGCGGCAGGCCUAACACAUGCAAGUCGAGCGGAUGAAGGGAGCUUGCUCCUGGAUUCAGCGGCGGACGGAUGAGUAAUGCCUAGGAAUCUGCCUGGUAGUGGGGGAUAACGUCCGGAAACGGGCGCUAAUACCGCAUACGUCCUGAGGGAGAAAGUGGGGGAUCUUCGGACCUCACGCUAUCAGAUGAGCCUAGGUCGGAUUAGCUAGUUGGUGGGGUAAAGGGCUACCAAGGCGACGAUCCGUAACUGGUCUGAGAGGAUGAUCAGUCACACUGGAACUGAGACACGGUCCAGACUCCUACGGGAGGCAGCAGUGGGGAAUAUUGGACAAUGGGCGAAAGCCUGAUCCAGCCAUGCCGCGUGUGUGAAGAAGGUCUUCGGAUUGUAAAGCACUUUAAGUUGGGAGGAAGGGCAGUAAGUUAAUACCUUGCUGUUUUGACGUUACCAACAGAAUAAGCACCGGCUAACUUCGUG
This 484-nucleotide ribosomal RNA is filed under the name uncultured bacterium. RNAcentral's name for it is "partial 16S ribosomal RNA". It matches the Rfam family "Bacterial small subunit ribosomal RNA", at positions 30 to 507 of the family's 1533-position model. The record is from RNAcentral.